GACGAACGCUGGCGGCGUGCCUAACACAUGCAAGUCGAGCGGGGAAAGUUCUUCGGAACUUUUCUAGCGGCGGACGGGUGAGUAACGCGUGAGCAAUCUGUCCCAUACAGGGGGAUAACAACUGGAAACAGUUGCUAAUACCGCAUGAGACCACAAUGUCGCAUGGCAAAGGGGUCAAAGGAGCAAUCCGGUAUGGGGUGAGCUCGCGUCCGAUUAGAUAGUUGGUGAGGUAACGGCCCACCAAGUCAACGAUCGGUAGCCGACCUGAGAGGGUGAUCGGCCACAUUGGAACUGAGACGCGGUCCAA
This 307-nucleotide ribosomal RNA is filed under the name uncultured bacterium. RNAcentral's name for it is "bacterial SSU rRNA". It matches the Rfam family "Bacterial small subunit ribosomal RNA", at positions 28 to 334 of the family's 1533-position model. The record is from RNAcentral.